This 141-nucleotide ribosomal RNA is filed under the name Arenicellales bacterium. Its description in RNAcentral is "partial 23S ribosomal RNA". It matches the Rfam family "Bacterial large subunit ribosomal RNA", at positions 857 to 996 of the family's 2925-position model. The record is from RNAcentral. Lineage: Bacteria; Pseudomonadati; Pseudomonadota; Gammaproteobacteria; Arenicellales.
CCCCGAAAACUAUUUAGGUAGUGCCUCGUGUCUCACUUCUGGGGGUAGAGCACUGUUAUGGCUAGGGCCACGUCAAGUGGUACCAACCCAUUGCAAACUCCGAAUACCAGAAAGUGCAAUCACGGGAGACAGACGGCGGGA